Molecule: ribosomal RNA, 396 nt
Filed under: uncultured bacterium
Lineage: Bacteria
Description: partial 16S ribosomal RNA
Rfam family: Bacterial small subunit ribosomal RNA
Source: RNAcentral
AUACGGAGGGUGCAAGCGUUAAUCGGAAUUACUGGGCGUAAAGCGCACGCAGGCGGUCUGUCAAGUCGGAUGUGAAAUCCCCGGGCUCAACCUGGGAACUGCAUUCGAAACUGGCAGGCUAGAGUCUUGUAGAGGGGGGUAGAAUUCCAGGGGUAGCGGUGAAAUGCGUAGAGAUCUGGAGGAAUACCGGUGGCGAAGGCGGCCCCCUGGACAAAGACUGACGCUCAGGUGCGAAAGCGUGGGGAGCAAACAGGAUUAGAUACCCUGGUAGUCCACGCCGUAAACGAUGUCGACUUGGAGGUUGUGCCCUUGAGGCGUGGCUUCCGGAGCUAACGCGUUAAGUCGACCGCCUGGGGAGUACGGCCGCAAGGUUAAAACUCAAAUGAAUUGGCGGGG